This 313-nucleotide ribosomal RNA is filed under the name Scotinoecus cinereopilosus. Its description in RNAcentral is "partial 12S ribosomal RNA". The record is from RNAcentral. Lineage: Eukaryota; Metazoa; Arthropoda; Arachnida; Araneae; Hexathelidae.
AGGUAAUACUAAUUUAGAAACCUUUAUUCUUUGGCGGCUUUUUUUCUGUUUAAAGGAACUUGUAAACUAAUUCGAUAUUUCACGAUAACUUUUACUUUUUUAAUAUUUUUAUACCGCCGUCUUAAGAUAAAUUUUUUAUAAUCCCUUCUCCUUAGAUUUUUCUUUCAAGUCAGGUCAAGGUGAAGUUUACAAAAAAGACCUUAUGAGUUACUUAUAAAUUCUAUUUAUGGAUGUUCUUCUAAAGAAGUGAUGAAUCAGGAUUUAUAAGUAAAUUAAAAUUAAAAAUUUUAAUCGAAAUAGUAAAAUUAAGUGC